Molecule: ribosomal RNA, 235 nt
Filed under: uncultured bacterium
Lineage: Bacteria
Description: partial 16S ribosomal RNA
Rfam family: Bacterial small subunit ribosomal RNA
Source: RNAcentral
UGGCGGACGGGUGAGUAAUGUCUGGGAAACUGCCUGAUGGAGGGGGAUAACUACUGGAAACGGUAGCUAAUACCGCAUAACGUCGCAAGACCAAAGAGGGGGACCUUCGGGCCUCUUGCCAUCGGAUGUGCCCAGAUGGGAUUAGCUAGUAGGUGGGGUAACGGCUCACCUAGGCAACGAUCCCUAGCUGGUCUGAGAGGAUGACCAGCCACACUGGAACUGAGACACGGUCCAG